UAACGCGUGGGCAACCUGCCUCGUACAGGGGGAUAACAGUUAGAAAUGACUGCUAAUACCGCAUGAGCGCACAGUGCUGCAUGGCACAGUGUGAAAAACUCCGGUGGUAUGAGAUGGACCCGCGUCUGAUUAGCUAGUUGGUGGGGUAACGGCCUACCAAGGCGACGAUCAGUAGCCGGCCUGAGAGGGUGAACGGCCACAUUGGGACUGAGACACGGCCCAA
This 223-nucleotide ribosomal RNA is filed under the name uncultured bacterium. RNAcentral's name for it is "partial 16S ribosomal RNA". It matches the Rfam family "Bacterial small subunit ribosomal RNA", at positions 111 to 334 of the family's 1533-position model. The record is from RNAcentral.